Long non-coding RNA from Prionailurus viverrinus (fishing cat), 246 nucleotides. RefSeq lists it as uncharacterized. The transcript is spliced from 3 exons. The record is from RefSeq and is a predicted model, not a curated record. Lineage: Eukaryota; Metazoa; Chordata; Mammalia; Carnivora; Felidae.
CUGAAGGAGGAGAGACAAGAAAGAUAUGGGCAGGAAAGGCUAAAGUCACAGGGCGAUGCUGCUCCUCACUGCUCACCUUCAACACAGGGACAUCUUCUUUCUCCUGUGGUAAAGGAAACUGGUUGAAGAGAGGCAGCUCACAAUCAAGGAGUAGACAGAGAAGAAGGUCCAAACGGUUUGCUUCUUUCUUCACGACUAUAAAUGUGCAAUCUAAAUGCUCCUCCUGGAAAACCCUUAAGAAUGAGA